RNAcentral lists this microRNA precursor (92 nucleotides) under Tribolium castaneum (red flour beetle). RNAcentral describes it as "microRNA tca-mir-3851k precursor (tca-mir-3851k-2)". The record is from miRBase by way of RNAcentral. Lineage: Eukaryota; Metazoa; Arthropoda; Insecta; Coleoptera; Tenebrionidae.
GCAUAAAUUUAGUGCUGGGUUGGCAAAAGGUGGUACCAUGUAACAUUUUAACCCAUAGUACGACCCAUGCCGGCUCAGUAAUAAAUUAUAAU